CAAAGGCUUGGUCCUGACUUUACUAUCAGCUUUAACCAAAUUUACACAUGCAAGUAUCCGCAUCCCAGUGAGAAUGCCCCACAGUUCUCUACUUGAGAACAAGGAGCUGGUAUCAGGCACAUUCAAUUCAAUGCCCACAACACCUUGCUCAGCCACGCCCUCAAGGGAAUUCAGCAGUGAUAAACAUUAAGCUAUAAGUGAAAACUUGACUUAAUUAAAGUUAAAAGAGUCGGUAAAACUCGUGCCAGCCACCGCGGUUAUACGAGAGACUCAAGUUGAUAGACAACGGCGUAAAGAGUGGUUAAGAAAACAUCUCACUAAAGCCAAAUACUUUCAAAGCUGUUAUACGCACCCGAAAUGUAAGAAGCCCAACCACGAAAGUGGCUUUAUUCCACCUGAACCCACGAAAGCUAUGACACAAACUGGGAUUAGAAACCCCACUAUGCUUAGCCCUAAACAUCGAUCAUAUUUCACAUCCACAAUCCGCCUGGGAACUACGAGCAUUAGCUUAAAACCCAAAGGACUUGGCGGUGCUUAAAAUCCACCUAGAGGAGCCUGUUCUAGAACCGAUAACCCCCGUUCAACCUCACCCUCCCUUGUUUUUCUCCGCCUAUAUACCGCCGUCGUCAGCCUACCCUGUGAAAGUAUUAUAGUAAGCAAAGCUAGUAUAAACCCAAAACGUCAGGUCGAGGUGUAGCGCAUGAGAGGGGAAGAAAUGGGCUACAUUCAUUAACAUAAUGAACUACGGAUGGCAUACUGAAACAAAUGCCAGAAGGAGGAUUUAGCAGUAAGUAAAAAAUAGAGUGUUUUACUGAAACUGGCCCUAAAGCGCGCACACACCGCCCGUCACUCUCCCCAAGCAUCCACUCACAUAUAACCUAAAAACAAAUAACUGCUAAGGGGAGGCAAGUCGUAACAUGGUAAGUGUACCGGAAGGUGCACUUGGAAAAAU
Molecule: non-coding RNA, 952 nt
Filed under: Aenigmachanna gollum
Lineage: Eukaryota; Metazoa; Chordata; Actinopteri; Anabantiformes; Aenigmachannidae
Description: 12S ribosomal RNA
Rfam family: Bacterial small subunit ribosomal RNA
Source: RNAcentral